UGUCAUUAUCGUGCAAGUUAUCGUCUCUGGUGGCUCUCUAAAUCGACAUCGAUGUCGAGAUUGCAAAGUCUAUCGUGAUAAAAUUAUCUGCUUCGAUUGCAGUACGAAGGAUCCGACUUGGGUAUAUAGGUGUUUUACCUGGAGGAAAGGUAAUUCCAACGAAUAGACAGACAAGAAGAGCACUGAGUAAUAUAAACAAGAACAUCAUCGGAGCUCCUGUUUAUCCUUCUGCUGUCAACAAGAGACCAUUCACCAAGAAGAAUGGGAUAUGUAACAAGAAGAUUCCACUCCAUUGCAUCGUCUGG
Arabidopsis lyrata subsp. lyrata is the source of this 305-nucleotide long non-coding RNA. RefSeq lists it as uncharacterized. NCBI's taxonomy places the organism in Eukaryota, Viridiplantae, Streptophyta, Magnoliopsida, Brassicales, Brassicaceae. The record is from RefSeq and is a predicted model, not a curated record. The transcript has 3 exons.